Molecule: non-coding RNA, 577 nt
Organism: Pelobates cultripes (western spadefoot toad)
Lineage: Eukaryota; Metazoa; Chordata; Amphibia; Anura; Pelobatidae
Source: the annotation of a GenBank genome assembly
CUAUAAUCAACAGCGUUUUGUCAACUACACUAGGGAUGCCCUACAGGGCCUGGCAGAGCAACUACAAGCCACUACCCAAAUGACAUUUCAGAACAGAAUGGCCCUAGAUAUGAUUUUAGCUGAGAAAGGGGGUGUAUGUAAAAUCCUCCCUGAGACCAUGACAUGCUGCACAUACAUUCCAGACAACACUGGGCCCAAUGGUAAGGUGACUAUGGCCAUAGAGAAGCUAGAUAGUCUCGCAGACGAACUAAAGAAAAAUUCAGGAGUCAUCGACCCUUGGGACAGAUGGUUUGGAUGGAUGAAUGGUUGGCAAAGGACCCUCUUCCAGGUGGGGACAGCUGUUUUCAUAAUGAUCGUUAUUUUCUUAUUUCUGACCUGUUGCAUAUUCCCCUGCAUACAGAAGUAUUUACAGAAAGCGGUGGAUAAGACUAUAGAUGACGUGACCCCUACUUUCAUACACCAAGACAUCACAGACCUCGAAGAUGAUACUCCACAUACACCCCUUCAAUCACAUCAGUUCAAACAAACAACUGCUUUCCUAUAGGGACAGUAUAGGGAAAGUGUCUGUCUUAACUGG